UACGGAGGGUGCAAGCGUUAUCCGGAUUCACUGGGUUUAAAGGGUGCGUAGGUGGGCAGGUAAGUCAGUGGUGAAAUACUUCAGCUUAACUGGAGAGGUGCCAUUGAUACUGGGAUGCUUGAGUACUGAUGAGGUAGGCGGAAUGGACGGUGUAGCGGUGAAAUGCUUAGAUAUCGUCCAGAACACCGAUAGCGAAGGCAGCUUACUAAGGAGUAACUGACGCUGAGGCACGAAAGUGUGGGGAUCAAACAGG
RNAcentral lists this ribosomal RNA (253 nucleotides) under uncultured bacterium. RNAcentral's name for it is "partial 16S ribosomal RNA". It matches the Rfam family "Bacterial small subunit ribosomal RNA", at positions 524 to 776 of the family's 1533-position model. The record is from RNAcentral.